ACUAAGCCGCGAGGUGGAGNAAACCCAAAAAAGACAGUCUCAGUUCGGAUUGAAGGCUGAAAUUCGCCUUCAUGAAGCCGGAAUUGCUAGUAAUGGCAGGUCAGCAUACUGCCGUGAAUACGUUCCCGGGCCUUGUACACACCGCCCGUCACACCAUGAGAGUUGGGAAUACCCGAAGCCUGUGAGCUAACUUUUAGAGGCAGCAGUCGAAGGUAGAAUCAAUGAUUGGGGUGAAGUCGUAACAAGGUAGC
Molecule: ribosomal RNA, 251 nt
Filed under: uncultured bacterium
Lineage: Bacteria
Description: partial 16S ribosomal RNA
Rfam family: Bacterial small subunit ribosomal RNA
Source: RNAcentral